UACGAAGGGGGCUAGCGUUGUUCGGAAUCACUGGGCGUAAAGCGCACGUAGGCGGAUUUUUAAGUCAGGGGUGAAAUCCCGAGGCUCAACCUCGGAACUGCCUUUGAUACUGGGGAUCUGGAGUCCGGGAGAGGUGAGCGGAACUGCGAGUGUAGAGGUGAAAUUCGUAGAUAUUCGCAAGAACACCAGUGGCGAAGGCGGCUCACUGGUCCGGUACUGACGCUGAGGUGCGAAAGCGUGGGGAGCAAACAGG
RNAcentral lists this ribosomal RNA (253 nucleotides) under uncultured bacterium. RNAcentral describes it as "partial 16S ribosomal RNA". It matches the Rfam family "Bacterial small subunit ribosomal RNA", at positions 524 to 776 of the family's 1533-position model. The record is from RNAcentral.